RNAcentral lists this unclassified non-coding RNA (289 nucleotides) under uncultured fungus. RNAcentral's name for it is "partial contains 5.8S ribosomal RNA, internal transcribed spacer 2, and large subunit ribosomal RNA". The stretch from base 1 to 52 matches the Rfam family "5.8S ribosomal RNA", at positions 103 to 154 of the family's 154-position model. The record is from RNAcentral. Lineage: Eukaryota; Fungi. RNAcentral also lists the same sequence under 1 other name.
AACGCAUCUUGCGCUCCUUGGUAUUCCGAGGAGCAUGCCUGUUUGAGUGUCAUAAUGUUCUCAACCACAUUGAUUUGCUUCUGAUGUGGAUUGGACAUGGGAAUUUUUGCAGGCCUUUCAAAGAGGUCUGCUUUCCUGAAAUAGAUUAGUGGUAUCUGAGCAGAGACUUACUACGGGUGUGAUAAACCAUCUAUGCCUAUUUGUAGAAUGCUGCGACAGGACUGCUUCUAAAAUCUCAUUUGUUGACAAAUUUGACCUCAAAUCAGGUAGGACUACCCGCUGAACUUAA